Molecule: ribosomal RNA, 433 nt
Filed under: uncultured bacterium
Lineage: Bacteria
Description: partial 16S ribosomal RNA
Rfam family: Bacterial small subunit ribosomal RNA
Source: RNAcentral
AACGAACGCUGGCGGCAUGCCUAACACAUGCAAGUCGAACGAGACCUUCGGGUCUAGUGGCGCACGGGUGCGUAACGCGUGGGAACCUGUCCUUAGGUUCGGAAUAACUCCCCGAAAGGGGUGCUAAUACCGGAUAAUGUCUUCGGACCAAAGAUUUAUCGCCUUUGGAUGGGCCCGCGUUGGAUUAGCUAGUUGGUAGGGUAAAAGCCUACCAAGGCGACGAUCCAUAGCUGGUCUGAGAGGAUGAUCAGCCACACUGGGACUGAGACACGGCCCAGACUCCUACGGGAGGCAGCAGUGGGGAAUAUUGGACAAUGGGCGAAAGCCUGAUCCAGCAAUGCCGCGUGAGUGAUGAAGGCCUUAGGGUUGAAAAGCUCUUUUACCCGGGAUGAUAAUGACAGUACCGGGAGAAUAAGCUCCGGCUAACUCCGUG